Molecule: ribosomal RNA, 460 nt
Filed under: uncultured bacterium
Lineage: Bacteria
Description: partial 16S ribosomal RNA
Rfam family: Bacterial small subunit ribosomal RNA
Source: RNAcentral
CCUACGGGAGGCAGCAGUGAGGAAUAUUGGUCAAUGGACGCGAGCCUGAACCAGCCAAGUAGCGUGAAGGAUGACUGCCCUAUGGGUUGUAAACUUCUUUUAUAUGGGAAUAAAGUGUUCCACGUGUGCCUUUUUGUAUUUACCCUAUGAAUAAGGAUCGGCUAACUCCGUGCCAGCAGCCGCGGUAAUACGGAGGAUCCGAGCGUUAUCCGGAUUUAUUGGGUUUAAAGGGAGCGUAGGUGGAUUGUUAAGUCAGUUGUGAAAGUUUGCGGCUCAAACGUAAAAUUGCAGUUGAAACUGGCAGUCUUGAGUACAGUUGAGGUGGGCGGAAUUCGUGGUGUAGCGGUGAAAUGCUUAGAUAUCACGAAGAACUCCGAUUGCGAAGGCAGCUUACUGGACUGCAACUGACACUGAGGCUCGAAAGUGUGGGUAUCAAACAGGAUUAGAUACCCCUGUAGUC